This 724-nucleotide long non-coding RNA is filed under the name Anas platyrhynchos platyrhynchos (common mallard). Its description in RNAcentral is "lncRNA (ENSAPLG00000026565.1)". Lineage: Eukaryota; Metazoa; Chordata; Aves; Anseriformes; Anatidae. The record is from RNAcentral.
AACAAACCUUGCACGAGGGUAAACGGCUGCUGAGCCCCGGGCAAAGGUGAAGCAGGCUGCCCCGACAUCUCACCUCCCAGCCCUGAGCUGGCCCCAGCACACACCAGGAGGUGGCUGUGGGAGGAGAAGCACUUAGCUGGAAUGAAAAAUGCACAAGGAGCAGCCUGAUGAUUUUUUUAACCAAGUUUGCAGUUUCUUGCUUGAACGCCGGUGUCAGACGUCGCCACCUCCUCGCUGACCUGUGCUCCUCAGCGACCAUCCUUCAUGCAGGAGGUGCGACCCCAGGACAGCUGCGUCACCAGCAAUGUGGACAGGCAACGAGGGAGACCUCCCCAGUGCAAGGUGUACCUGCAGCAAUCCAUCAACAGAGCGGUAAAGCGGAGGAGCCAUUUAGGUGGACACGACUCCAAAUGCUCAGAAUGAGGCACUUACCGUCAGCCACCCAAUAAUGGAAAGCGACAGAAAUGGCCAAUUAGAAGCCGAAGACGGAUGGCACCAAACUUGUCGACAAACAAGCUCCAGACUAAAGAACUGCACACAGGUCCCAGCGCAGACCAGCAUCGUUUUUCCUGGCAGACAGGUACCUGUGAGGGCACACACCUAAUGUCAUGCAGAGCUGACAGUUUAAGUUCCUUACCCACCAUUGGCACACGAGUGGGACAAUCUUUGGCCGUGCUGAAUUAAUGUAACUGCUCCCAGCACCCGGAGCCUUGGCUAGGGCAGC